This is a long non-coding RNA of Triplophysa rosa, 1775 nucleotides long. RefSeq lists it as uncharacterized. NCBI's taxonomy places the organism in Eukaryota, Metazoa, Chordata, Actinopteri, Cypriniformes, Nemacheilidae. The transcript has 4 exons. The record is from RefSeq and is a predicted model, not a curated record.
AUUGCUCAGUUGCUUUGUGUAAGAAAAUAUAGCCUAGUAUAUUCAAUAGACACUCAAAAACAAAACAUAAGAAAAUGGUGAGGAUAAAAUGAAGAAAAGGUGAUUCAACGUAUACUUUGUGCGUGUAAAGUUUGGAUCUAAAGCAAACUGUUUAACAACAACAACAAUUAAAACCUUGUUUAAACUAAAAGUAAACAGAAACACUUACUGUAGGAUGGAAUGUCUACUUCUUGAGUUUCCUUGCUACACAAUCAGAUGUCCAACACAAAUUAAUAAAAGAGGUUUGACGCUGAAAAGAACUCAGAGUCUGCUCUAUAUGUCAGUAAAUCUUAGAAUAGUGUCUAGGUGUUAAGGGGUUGCCACAGUUUAACACUAACCACUAAAACAGAUGUGCAAAGACAACUCUUAAUAACAGGAUGUGUGAGAUUUGACUGUUCUAAAUGUUCUAAAGAAUAUCCGUUUAGAAUCAUAUAAACAAUUAUGUUAAAAGGAAUCACCCAACUGCCUGCUGUGAUGCGAUGAACACCAGCAAUAAAGAUGUUUUUUUCUUCACCCUUGGUUGGUGGACGCACUGGCAUCUUGUCAGACAGAAGGAAAACAGUCAGGAUAGGGGGAACAUCGUGGACACCAUUUAAAGACACUGCUCCAUGCAGUUAGGAAAAACAUGUGGUUUAAUUAUACAGUGUUGUAGACACAGUUUGAAGAGUGGAUACUCAGAUUUUUUUUCAUUUUUCAGAAACAUGAACGCUGGAAGCUGUCAGGUGGGGACAGAGCUGUCUGAAACAAGAGGUUUCUCUGUAUAAUGUCAGGAAUGCGGUCUUUCCUCCAACAUACGUGUGAACCUCAUAAAAACAUGUCCAAAAACAUGUCCAAACAUGAUCGCCGGAAAAGGGAGAAAAAUGUUCGGUAAACGUACGGGACAAAAGUUCAACUUGAGACAUGGACAAUCACUCACAACGUGGACAGAUACUCCCAAAGGGCAAAAGUUCACCAUGACGUGGGCAGUACCACACUAAGGGGGCGGAUACGGUCAAAGGUUAACGCAAAGGGGGAGGCCCCCUCGCAACGUGGGUGGUCCGGAAGUAAUUCAACCCCCCCCCACAAAGGUCAAUGACCCCAUCAAUCAUACCUGUCAAUCAUUUUGACACUAUGACCCGCAUAUAUACUACUCCCCUGGACUCUUGUGUUCCCUUAUUGUUAUUUAUCAUGUUUCCCUGUUUUUUUUUUUUGUCGGUGUCACAGUCUGUUUUGUCUUGUUUGUCACCUUGAGGAGCGCCAGGAUGUCGCUCCUUAAGGGGGAGCUUCUGUCAUGAUUCUGCCUCGUUAUGUCAUGUCUUUCUUGGUGUUGUGGCAGGAUCAUGGCAGAGCCUCAUGUUUUGUGUGGAGAGAGACAUUUAUUGUUGUUGUGGCUUGCCAUACACUCUCUGCGAUCUCGUGUCUGCUCCCGCCAUCUCGUUUCCUCAUUAUUGAUCAUUAAUUAGUUCAUGCCCUGCACCUGUUCCCCUCUUGAUUUAUCCCCUUUAUAAUGCCCUUGUGUUUUCUAUCUUGUGCUGGUUCAUAGUGAUUGUAUGGUGAGUUCCUGUGUCUUGUCAAGUUUAGUCUAGUGUAGUCAUUUGUAAAUUAUGUCAAGUGUUAACUUUAGUCUUGUUUAAGUGUAGUUAGUCUUAGUCCUGUCUUGUCAUGUUAUUAUAUUGCCCUGGUUUUUUUUGUUUUACCCCCCGUGGGUUUUUGGUUUUGUCUUUAUUAUUAUUAUUAUUAUUAUUAAACGUCUUGUU